This is a long non-coding RNA of Centropristis striata (black sea bass), 177 nucleotides long. RefSeq lists it as uncharacterized. The transcript has 4 exons. NCBI's taxonomy places the organism in Eukaryota, Metazoa, Chordata, Actinopteri, Perciformes, Serranidae. The record is from RefSeq and is a predicted model, not a curated record.
AAAAUGGAAAGUUCGGACUCAAGGGUUCAAGGGGUCACACUGGACUCCAUGGCCUUUUUGGUCUACCUGGCGUGCUGGGUUUUAGAGGCCGAGUUGGGAUUGAGGGACCAGAAGGAAAGCCUGGUACACAGGGUGUUCCUGGUUCUGUUGGCUCUCCUGGACCUAAAGGAGACAGAG